This is a long non-coding RNA of Carassius carassius (crucian carp), 554 nucleotides long. RefSeq lists it as uncharacterized. NCBI's taxonomy places the organism in Eukaryota, Metazoa, Chordata, Actinopteri, Cypriniformes, Cyprinidae. The record is from RefSeq and is a predicted model, not a curated record. The transcript is spliced from 3 exons.
UGGUGAUGUGAUUCUGGAGAGUUCUUUUGAUCCUGUGAUUGAGGGAGAUACUCUGACUCUACACUGUUUACAUCGAUCUACAAACUCCUCGAUCCUCAGAGCUGAUUUCAGAGGUUCAGGUCAGAUUUCUGUUUUCAGCAUCCUCAGUUUUCUUCUGGCAGCUUGUCCGUAUCUGCUGUCGACAGUCGUGCUGCUGUUCAAAUGUUACAGAGCGAGAGUUACAUGGACUGAAGACCGAAGCCAGUCCGCUGUAACAGAGGAAUAAUCUUCAUCUCUUCUCCAAACCGCACACAGAGUCACAGGAUGCUGGAGUCUCAGACUGAAGACUGAAACACACUGGACACGAGCAGUCCAUCACAAGACUAACAGACAAUGCUCUUCAUGUGUGUCACAUUCACAGUAAACUACUGAAAGACACCCUUUAAAUACUAACAACAACAAUUAGGAUAUCAAAUCACAUCUGAACAACAUCUUUUUAUGCUUUCUGUGUAUGAAUAAAAGGAGUUUUAGUUUAAUUCUAAAAAUGUCUAUUUGCCGUUAAAGCUUUCCUGAAU